GUCUACAGCCAUACUAUCUUGAAUGUACCCGAUCCCUAAUCUCAGAAGCUAACUAGGGUCGGGCCUGGUUAGUACUUGGGUAGGAGAAUAUAAAAUUAAGAUGGUCAUUUUUAAACU
RNAcentral lists this ribosomal RNA (117 nucleotides) under Peromyscus maniculatus bairdii (prairie deer mouse). Lineage: Eukaryota; Metazoa; Chordata; Mammalia; Rodentia; Cricetidae. The record is from RNAcentral.